GCAACCUCAUGGUUUCCAGUCAGAUUCGCUAACCACUGAGCCACGACGGGAACUCAAGGGAAUGCUUUCUUAAAAUGAAAGGCCCAUUUAGCUGACCUUGCCUUCUGCUUUUCUUUACAUCUGGAACUCAAAUGCUAUACUGGAGUUUGAGCAGCCAUCCUGUGACUGCAAAGGAACACGCACAUGUUAAGGAUGCUGGGUGAAGGGAAGAGAGAAGGUCCUGGCUCUCCAAGGACAUUGUGGAUCUUCCAGAUCAGCCCUGGACUAAAAAAGACGUAUAUGAUAGGGUUUCGAGAUUCAGUCCUCAGAGGAAAGCUCAAGGGGAAAUGGAGAGGGUGGAAAGAGUGAGACUGAGUUGGCGGAACUCUGCUCUGCCGUUUUAAACAGAGCGCUGCGGAGGGCGCCGUGCUGAUCUCCGGCCCACAGUGGCGCCAACCCCCGCGUCCUGGCUUCCUGCCCCCCGAACCGGUGAACCCACUCACUCGCUGAGGAGGCCUCCUACAAGCCGUGAUUCUGCACUUGGAACCCUGGGCUGGCGCCGCGGAUGCCCUCGGGUAGCCCAUCUUCCACGGUCUGCGUUUCACGCAGGGGAAGCCGAGGCUCGGAGGCGCCCAGGGCCUGCUUAGAGUUACAGUCGGAUGCGUUUGCGGCAGAGGCGAAGCUGAUUUUCUAACCUGUGAACUGACACUGGAGUCCCCGACAGAACUGGGCUGGGGCCGCUGACCGCCUAAAGCCUAAACAAGGAGAAGGGACUGAUUCCCAGGCAAUGGAGCUCAAACUCCAAGAAGGCAUCCUUGCGCCCGGGUGGGGGGAAGGCGGCUCCCAGCUACACGCUUCUGCAAGAUCCCCCAAAGGGCUGCCACCCUCUGUUCCACUGAGAAAUUAAACUCCGACUUUGCCACCACGCUGGCUUUUCCACUAGAACGCUGUUUUGCGAAAGAGCUGGCGCUUUGCUAGAUUUCUUUUUUCCUUAAGGCAUUUGCUUGGCAUUUCCGGGUCCUUGAUCAUCAGAGGAACAUGAAGGGACAAAUGAGAAGAGACGGGGAAAUUCCACAACCAACCACUUAGAAAUUCAACCCAAAACUUCCAUUAUGGUCUAGACCCAACCUUUGUUCCUGUGAAAAAACUGUGGGUGUGGAAUAUUUUGUAAUAUGCGUUUUCUAUGUAAUCACCCACAAAACAUUAUGAAUUAACGUAAUAGCAAAUAUCUGAGUAUUUACG
Long non-coding RNA from Phacochoerus africanus (Common warthog), 1221 nucleotides. RefSeq lists it as uncharacterized. The record is from RefSeq and is a predicted model, not a curated record. NCBI's taxonomy places the organism in Eukaryota, Metazoa, Chordata, Mammalia, Artiodactyla, Suidae. The transcript is spliced from 3 exons.